UACGUAGGUGGCAAGCGUUGUCCGGAUUUACUGGGCGUAAAGAGCGCGCAGGCGGUCGUUCAAGUCGCGUGUGAAAGCCCCCGGCUCAACUGGGGAGGGUCACGCGAUACUGAUCGACUGGAAGGCAGGAGAGGGUAGUGGAAUUCCCGGUGUAGUGGUGAAAUGCGUAGAUAUCGGGGGGAACACCAGUGGCGAAGGCGACUACCUGGCCUGUUCUUGACGCUGAGGCGCGAAAGCGUGGGGAGCAAACAGG
This 253-nucleotide ribosomal RNA is filed under the name uncultured bacterium. RNAcentral's name for it is "partial 16S ribosomal RNA". It matches the Rfam family "Bacterial small subunit ribosomal RNA", at positions 524 to 776 of the family's 1533-position model. The record is from RNAcentral.